UUCCGGUUGAUCCUGCCGGAGGCUACCGCUAUUGGAGUUCGAUUAAGCCAUGCGAGUCUAGAGGCCUAGCCUCGGCGUACCGCUCAGUAACACGUGGGUAACCUACCCUAUGCUGGGGAAUAAGCUCGGGAAACUGAGAAUAAUGCCCCAUAGUCCACUACGCCUGGAACGGUGAGUGGAUUAAAGCUCCGGCGGCAUAGGAUGGGCCUGCGGCGUAUCAGGUUGUAGGGGGUGUAAUGUACCCUCUAGCCAUCCACGCGUACGGGUGUUGGGAGACAUUGCCCGGAGAUGGAUUCUGAGACACGAAUCCAGACCCUACGGGGUGCAGCAGGCGCGAAAACUUGGCAAUGCGAGAAAUCGUGACCAGGGAACUCCAAGUGGCAGGGGUAAGACCCUGUCUUUUUCCGACUCUAAAUAGGUCGGCGAAUAAGGGGUGGGUAAGGACGGUGCCAGCCGCCGCGGUAAUACCGGCGCCUCAAGUGAUAGUCGCUUUUAUUGGGCCUAAAACGUCCGUAGCCGGUCUGGUACAUUCGUGGGUAAAUCAACUCGCUUAACGAGUUGAAUUCUGCGAGGACGGCCAGACUUGGGACCGGGAGAGGUGUGGGGUACUCUCAGGGUAGGGGUAAAAUCCUGUCAUCCUGAGAGGACCACCUGUUGCGAAGGCUCCACACUAGAACGGAUCCGACGGUCAGGGACGAAGCCUAGGGGCACGAACCGGAUUAGAUACCCGGGUAGUCCUAGGUGUAAACGCUGUGGACUUGAUGUUGGGGACGCUCCGAGCGUUCUCAGUGUCGAAGCGAAGGUGAUAAGUCCACUGCCUGGGGAGUACGGUCGCAAGGCUGAAACUUAAAGGAAUUGGCGGGGGAGCACCGCAACCUGAGGAUUGUGCGGUUUAAUUGGACUCAACGCCGGG
This 913-nucleotide ribosomal RNA is filed under the name unidentified hydrothermal vent archaeon PVA_OTU_1. Its description in RNAcentral is "SSU rRNA". It matches the Rfam family "Archaeal small subunit ribosomal RNA", at positions 1 to 922 of the family's 1478-position model. The record is from RNAcentral.